RNAcentral lists this ribosomal RNA (468 nucleotides) under uncultured bacterium. RNAcentral describes it as "partial 16S ribosomal RNA". It matches the Rfam family "Bacterial small subunit ribosomal RNA", at positions 28 to 507 of the family's 1533-position model. The record is from RNAcentral.
GACGAACGCUGGCGGCGUGCUUAACACAUGCAAGUCGAACGGAAAGGCCCUGCUUUUGUGGGGUGCUCGAGUGGCGAACGGGUGAGUAACACGUGAGUAACCUGCCCUUGACUUUGGGAUAACUUCAGGAAACUGGGGCUAAUACCUGAUAGGAGCUCCUGCUGCAUGGUGGGGUUUGGAAAGUUUCGGCGGUUGGGGAUGGACUCGCGGCUUAUCAGCUUGUUGGUGGGGUAGUGGCUUACCAAGGCUUUGACGGGUAGCCGGCCUGAGAGGGUGACCGGCCACAUUGGGACUGAGAUACGGCCCAGACUCCUACGGGAGGCAGCAGUGGGGAAUAUUGCACAAUGGGCGGAAGCCUGAUGCAGAAACGCCGCGUGCGGGAUGACGGCCUUCGGGUUGGAAACCGCUUUAGCCUGUGACGAAGCGUGAGUGACGGUAAUGGGUAAAGAAGCACCGGCUAACUACGUG